GACGAACGCUGGCGGCGUGCUUAACACAUGCAAGUCGAACGGAAAGGCCCUUCGGGGUACUCGAGUGGCGAACGGGUGAGUAACACGUGGGCGAUCUGCCCCGCACUUUGGGAUAAGCCCGGGAAACUGGGUCUAAUACCGAAUAGGACCACGCGCUUCAUGGCGCGUGGUGGAAAGCUUUUGCGGUGUGGGAUGAGCCCGCGGCCUAUCAGCUUGUUGGUGAGGUAAUGGCUCACCAAGGCGACGACGGGUAGCCGGCCUGAGAGGGUGACCGGCCACACUGGGACUGAGAUACGGCCCAGACUCCUACGGGAGGCAGCAGUGGGGAAUAUUGCACAAUGGGCGCAAGCCUGAUGCAGCGACGCCGCGUGAGGGAUGACGGCCUUCGGGUUGUAAACCUCUUUCAGUAGGGACGAAGCGCAAGUGACGGUACCUACAGAAGAAGGACCGGCCAACUACGUGCCAGCAGCCGCUGUAAGAC
Molecule: ribosomal RNA, 481 nt
Filed under: uncultured bacterium
Lineage: Bacteria
Description: bacterial SSU rRNA
Rfam family: Bacterial small subunit ribosomal RNA
Source: RNAcentral